CAUUGAAGGUGUGGAGGAUUCAGCGAGUCCACAUCCUCAGAGGCUGCCUGAGUGACCCAGGGGUUACAGAGGGGAUCCUCUAUAGGCAUGGUGGAACGGUCUAGCUGAACCCUGUGAAGGCAGCUGCUUUACCCGUGUGGAUCCCUGUGAGAGGCACCUCUCAGCAGGAGGGGUUCCAUUUCCAUCAGGCGAGAUGGGUCACAGGCACUCAGGUAUCCACAGAACUUUUCCAAGCGCAGGGCAUGAUUGGAGUGGCUCCCUGGGAUUUUCAGCGCCCUGUGGCCUUACUUGUUUCACAGACAGACACCAAAGAAAGGUUUGGACUGCAGUAUGUGGAGCCUGGUUGUCGUCCUGUCCCCUUGGACUGGAACAAGCACAAGUCCCAGAAGGUACCUGUUGCAGGGGAAGGAGAACAUCAGUCCUCAGAGCCGUCUGCUCUCAGUGAGAGAUUCCCACCUGAUGACCCACCUGAGGAGGUGAGGGAGGAAAACUUUGCUCAGGAUGACAUUUUUGGUGUAUCUUCUCUUGGCUCACAAACAAUGAUCCAGCCUGCACAGCCCACCAAAUUAAAAGAUGAGAUGACACCACCACUGCCCUUUGCUCCCUCUCCACAAGCUGCUCGCACAGGUCCCAUCAAGGCAGGCGGGCUACUUUUUGUCCUGGACCAUUUUCGGUGGACACAGCCCAUGAGGGAUUCCAUUGAUGGCCUUCUGGCAAAGUACCAUGGGCAGAAAGACCUUCUCACCCAGGUGGAUGCGGAGUAUGUUGCCCUUGUGCAGGCUGCCUCCAGGGAUCCCAGUAGCCUCUUACACCCCAC
This 817-nucleotide long non-coding RNA is filed under the name Sinocyclocheilus grahami. RNAcentral's name for it is "lncRNA (ENSSGRG00000007430.1)". The record is from RNAcentral. Lineage: Eukaryota; Metazoa; Chordata; Actinopteri; Cypriniformes; Cyprinidae.